GAGUUUGUUGGGAUCAACGAGAACUGCUAAUUCCUCGCUUCCAUGGUUCAACUCCAUGGCUGACUCA
RNAcentral lists this transfer RNA (67 nucleotides) under Anomaloglossus apiau. RNAcentral describes it as "tRNA-Ser". Lineage: Eukaryota; Metazoa; Chordata; Amphibia; Anura; Aromobatidae. The record is from RNAcentral.